UUUAUCAAGAGUGACGGAGGGAACAGACCCUGAGAAGUCCGACAACCUGCUUGAGAGGAAUGGAUUGCAUUUAAUCUAUCCAUAUUGAAAUGUAAAUUGAAAGAGUAAGGUGCCAAAUUCUGCGGUAUAACCGAAAGAUGAG
Molecule: non-coding RNA, 142 nt
Filed under: bovine gut metagenome
Description: SAM riboswitch (S box leader)
Rfam family: SAM riboswitch aptamer (S box leader)
About the family: The SAM riboswitch is found upstream of a number of genes which code for proteins involved in methionine or cysteine biosynthesis in Gram-positive bacteria. The SAM riboswitch acts at the level of transcription termination control.
Source: RNAcentral